UGAGGAAUAUUGCGCAAUGGGGGAAACCCUGACGCAGCGAUGCCGCGUGGGUGAAGAAGGCCUUCGGGUCGUAAAGCCCUGUCAAGUGGGAAGAACAGCUUGGGGACGAAUAAUCUUCAGGUCUGACGGUACCACUGAAGGAAGCACCGGCUAACUCCGUGCCAGCAGCCGCGGUAAGACGGAGGGUGCGAGCGUUAUUCGGAUUUAUUGGGCGUAAAGAGCGUGUAGGCGGCCGGUCAAGCCAGAUGUGAAAGCCCAGGGCUUAACCCUGGAAGUGCAUUUGGAACUGGUUGGCUUGAGUUCGGGAGAGGGAAGUGGAAUUCCGGGUGUAGAGGUGAAAUUCGUAGAUAUCCGGAGGAACACCGGUGGCGAAGGCGACUUCCUGGACCGAAACUGACGCUGAGACGCGAAAGCGUGGGGAGCAAACAGG
Molecule: ribosomal RNA, 430 nt
Filed under: uncultured Desulfobacca sp.
Lineage: Bacteria; Pseudomonadati; Thermodesulfobacteriota; Desulfobaccia; Desulfobaccales; Desulfobaccaceae
Description: bacterial SSU rRNA
Rfam family: Bacterial small subunit ribosomal RNA
Source: RNAcentral